GGUACACACAUACAUACCUACAGAGCUUUUAUUUCACAUGGUGUGUAAGUCUAAAGCAUAUGAGUGUAAUGCUUUUGUGUCAGUUUACUGAUGUCCUUUGGUUUUGGACUGAAAGCCCACGGUGAGGUUUCAGAGUGGCAGCCUUCCCACCCGCUUGGAGGGUGUGAAGUAGAGUUUGUUUAUGCUACUACUGAGCUGAGAAUGAGCUGGGGUCCUGUGCUUGUGUCUGUCCUCUUACUUAUAUCUGGACAGUCUGGUGUUCAGCUGAGCUACAGAAAUGGGUUUUUUUACCAGUUGUUAGAUAGUAAAAGCAAACAAAAGUAUUUUUCAUUUGCUAUUAUGAACCAUGGUAUUUGUCUGAAGCAAUAGUGAAAACAGGUUUUUUUGUUCCAGUUGAACAAUGCCUAUCUGUUUUUAGUCUUGACAUAUGGGGUAUACCUAGGUGAGUGUGCUUGUGGAUGAAUGAACUAAAUCCUUAUAGACAGCUAUUAUCAUUUAAAAGCAUCUCUAUUUACCUUGUGGAGAUGUGACUGAUUUUACAAGGUACUGUGUGUUUCCUGGGAAGAAUGCUCCCAGCUCUUGGGGGAGAUGCUCAGCAUGUCUGUGGAGGUCUGUGGUCUUUAAGAUGGGGCACUUGACCAAGAUAAAAGUUAAGAUGACAUUAAAAAGCAAGGAACAGAAUUUUCAGUAGUAUCACUUGUAUGAUAGAAUCUAGAGACUCAAGCAGCAUGUUAGAUAAUCAUCCCAGGGGCUGUUGUGAAGUCUUCUUAGCUGUAUAUUUACAGUCCAGAUAUACAAAAUACAGUGAAGGAAGUACUUUGAUUCCAAAAUGGAGAAAUGAGCGACGAAAGGAAUAAACUACUUCUAUCACAUUUUAACCAGACUGGUACAGCUGGAAAUCAAACCCAAGAACACAGAAAGAACACAGUGCUGCUGAGUUCCAUAUUAUUUUUUCUGCUCCUGGUUGCUAUGCCAAGUUUCACUCCAAGAUAUUAGAGCCUAAAACAUAAUUGAAAACACUUUAUUUCAUGAGAAUUUCCUUUUACAUUUUUUUCCUCCCAUAGCCCAAUUAAUAUUGACUAGUUUCACUUUUGAUUUUAGCAAUUUCUACACAAUCACACAUUGGUUCCUGUUCUGUACUACAAGACAGCAGUGUUGUUUUGCUAUGAACAUUGUAAAGAGAGGCACAUCUCUUCUUAACAAAAACUUUUUCUACUAUUUGACAGUCUUCCUGUUAUCUCUGUAGUUAAAGGUCAUGUUAUGUUAUAGAACCUACCAGUGACCAGUGGCUCCUUUUUAAGGUCCAUUAAGACCAUCUUAGGAUCAUACCUGGAAGAAUAAUUCUGCUGCCAAAUAAGAGUAUGUCUGUAGUAUGCAGAUGAAUUGGAUGCAAUAUUCCUGAAGGAGGCUAUCAUAUAAACCUCUCAGCUGUUCAGACUUCCGACAGAUUUCUGCAGAUGAGAGUUUACCAAAGAUACUUUCUGUGUAGAGCUUAUUUGAGUUUGUUUUUUUUUUAAUUGUUCAUGGCUUUUAUCAACAUUUGCCAUGAUGAGCACUGCAUUUAGGGUGGAGCUGACUUGACAGGAGCAAGUUUGUUUCUCUGAUGAUUUGGUCUAGAUUUCUCAUGUAAGAUGGAUUUUAAUAGCCUGUUAGCAAGCUUCUGUGAGUUUUGCUCCUGGCUCUCCAAAAUUCUGAAAUUAAAAUGUCAUUUAAAGUCUGCUUUUAAUUCAAGUCCUUCUGCCGAAGUACGCCGAAGUACUUUGUGUAAGGAAGCAAACAGAACCCCCGACUCCCCGCGUCUCUUGCGCUCCGUUCUCGGCAAUAUCCCCGGUUUUAGGGCGUGCGAUGUGGCGGGGCCGGGAGCGGCUGCAGUGGCGCGGCGGGGCCGGCAGAGGGCGCGGCGGGCGGCGGGAGCUCCGCGCCGGGGCCGCUCCCAGCGGGAAUUCCCCCGCGGCAGGAGCCGCGCUCAGAGCCGCGUCUGUUGGCAGCAGCGCCCGGGCCGCCUUGAGCCCGGAGCAGAUCUCAACCUCACCCCUACUCACCCAUCUUUAUUUGUGUCACCUCAUGUAGAAGAAAACAAAACAAAAAAAAAACCCUUUAACUUUUUUGGGACGGGGAGGGUGGAUGGUUUUCAGUUCCCAUUUGAUUUGUUAGAAAGCACAUCUGCGCCCUGACCAUGCUGAGUCCUGAGCUUGGUCUAUCAUGUACCUAUGUGUGCCACACUUCCAUAGCACUUUGGAACAAAACAAAGCGUUACAUUGUGAAUCCAAAUCUGGGAGUGAGAUUGCCAGAGGUAUUCAGUUUUUGUAUUUGCUGUUUUUUUUAAUACCAGUAUAAGUAUUGAAUUCUCUCGGGCCUUUUCUUUUGGGUUUCUGGACUAAAUCUUACUAUGUGUUUAUUCAUCAGCUAAGCCUGCAGUUUACAGAUGGGUUCAUCAAUGCUCCUGAAUCGAAACAGUAGGCUCCAAUUCUCCACUAAUCUUGUCUUCACAGCAGGACAUGGCACUACAGGCAAGAGCUGCUGCUUUAAGGCACUUACACAUCCAACUAUGACUUGUGUUAGAAAAAGUGACUUUCUGUCACCAAGAGAAAACUCAUAAGUGUGGGACCUCCUUGUGAAUCAGCUUCUUUCUAUUAUACACACAUUUAACCAGUUUAUUCCAUCUCAUCCACCCCCUUUAAAUUCUGCCUACAACAGGGACCUUUGCUGGUUCAGAUCUCUAACCAGAUAAAAUUUGCUUUUCUUUUCUUACAUGGCACUAUGAGUAACAGAGAACCUGUCUCUUUUUGCGUGCAUUCACUGACGCAGAAUCACGGCAUAGAAGUCCUGCAGUGAAAUAUGCAUUUUUUUGAUUGCCAGUCUGCAGUAGAGGCACCCAUCUCUGCACUUCAAGUCAUACCACACCAUCACAUCCUUGUAUCUCCUAUGCCCCACACAGGACCAGGGCCAAUGGAAUGUCUUGUUCUCUCAGCUUCUCAGUAUGUGAAAUGGAGGUGCUAAAACAUCAGCCUCCUUUGACUCAGAGGAAUACCUAAUCGAUAUCUAAUAAAUACUUUUAGAGAGAUUGGAAGGUGUAUGGGAGGCCUCUAUAUAAAAAGAAAUUAAUGAAUAAAUCAUACCAUUAGCCAAGCCCUCAAAGUGUUUUGGCCAUCAGCAGAAAUCCUUGCAAAACUGGUAUGGAAGUGUGCCAGCUCUGAUGCACAGCCUGGGCUUAUAUGUACCAGGAUGAUGAUGAAAAAAUAAGUAAUUUGUUACACACCCAUAUAUACAAAUAAAGAGACUCACCACAGGUGAAUUGUUGAGCCAGUUUUUGCAAGGCUGGCUGUGCAGUAUAAUUGGUGGAAAGAUAUCUCGAGUUUUGCAUGGUGUAAUUCUUCUUGCUUUGUUUUUCUGGCCACUGGGGAGCCAGCCUUCUGUAUGUCAUGGCUGCCAGGGCUGUGGUAACCUUUCCUUCAAAUAAUGCACCGCUCUUGCUGGCUCUUGUUACAUGUGGUAAGCUGCAAAUUCUUAGACUAAUUCAGCUCAGUGACUGUAAGUAAAUGUGUAUUUUCCCCCAAAUGGAAUUUCAUGAUUUUGCAGUUAUGGAAGUAAAACACUUAUUUCUAGAAAAGCAGAAAAUAUUCUAUAAAUAGUCCAGUCAAGAAAACAAAAACAUUGUUUCUGCUGUUUAAUUCCACAGUCAUGCUGGUAGAAUUUACAGGAUUAACUUUGUGUAAAUAGUUUCUCUUUCAUUUGUAAGAUCUGGAACAGGUCACUACAUGUAUUUUAUAUUCAAAGUUUUACCAGGAGAACUCUGUUGUUUAGCUAAGAUGGCUUGUAUGAAUCACCCAGGAUUACUCCUGGUUCUUGUGUGGCUGAGCCAGUUUGCAUAAUUAGGAGAGAGAUGCAUGAAAAAGCUACUGGGCUUUGGAACCCCUCUGGGUUUUGAUCAAAAGCCCACUGAAGCCAAACCCUUUGGCUCUAGUCAUCAGGCUAAGGCAGCAGUAGCAACUGAACAAGAUAAGGCAAUUUUGGAAGCUGUAAAAUCUAGUUUUCUGAGUUCUCUGGAUCUUAUCACUGGGAAUGGAACAUAGGAUGCAUGUGUAGCGUCCCACAGACACAAGGCUGUUGUAAUUCCAGAAACAGCGCAGCCACUUAAAAGUAUUUGUUUUCCACCAGUGUGUCAUCUUAGCUGUAUUUAGUAUAUUUGUGAAAAUAGGGUUAUGAUUACUUUGGAGGCAGGCUGUUCUGAAAAAUGUUCUGGUUAUUACAGUGGGACAUUAAAUGGAAGGAAUGAAUUGUGCUGUUGGUCUCCUCGGAACCUCUACAGUGUGACUGCAGGUCAUCUCUUGGGGCUUGAUCUGCGAGACAUGAUGGGGAGGGCUCAGGCAGCUGAGGUGGCGUUGGCUUGAAAUACCUGGGCUGCUUGAGAGAGAGCUUCCUUGUGCUGCCACCACCCUCUCUGAGCUAUCCAGCCCAUUGUUUUGCUCUUUCACUGUUCUUGGCUACUGUGUUUGACCUACAUCUGGCUGCUAGGACACAUCUUUGGGAAAAGGUUAUUCAGCAUGUGCCUCUGAAGCUGCCAAGGCCUGACUGACAGUGCUGUGUCUCUAGGAGACACAUUAUUCCUCCUGGAGAGAUAGAACGCUGUGGGAUUUAUCCCUCUGCUAUGAAGUUAACAUUUAUGCAUGUAAGUAACCACCAGGAUUAUUUAUUAAUGAAAUAAACAGAUUUUACCUUAAAAUGAAGGGAGAGUGAAGGUAAACUCAAAGCUUACCAGACAAAAGGGCUAUGGCAACCACUGGGGAAGCACCAGGGGAUGGUGCCUGGGGAAAUGCUGGAACCUGUCAGAUCCUUUUCCCUCAAGGCACAAAUCACCAGCUCUCCAGCAUGGGGAGGGGCAGACAGGAGGCUGUGUGCCCUGUAGGAGUCUUAAGAGCUAGAACUGAACCUGAACAGCUUUCCUGGCAAGCCUACUGCCCCUUUUAUAAGUAUAGCCAGUAAAAAUGGCUGAAAAAGGAUAAGCCAUAUCGUCAAAAGGGUUUUUGUGGUGCACAGGUACUGUUCAGAUGCAAGUACUGGACACAAAAUCCUAGGAAAUGGAUAUUUUUAAUCUAAUUCUUUGCAUGUAUUUUGUGUGUUCAUAGGAGUAGUUCUGGGAAUUCUCUGGUAAUCACAUGAAAAA
Non-coding RNA from Taeniopygia guttata (zebra finch), 5164 nucleotides. The record is from RefSeq and is a predicted model, not a curated record. Lineage: Eukaryota; Metazoa; Chordata; Aves; Passeriformes; Estrildidae.